RNAcentral lists this ribosomal RNA (253 nucleotides) under uncultured bacterium. RNAcentral's name for it is "partial 16S ribosomal RNA". It matches the Rfam family "Bacterial small subunit ribosomal RNA", at positions 524 to 776 of the family's 1533-position model. The record is from RNAcentral.
UACGUAGGUGGCAAGCGUUGUCCGGAUUUAUUGGGUUUAAAGGGUGCGUAGGCGGCCUUGUAAGUCAGUGGUGAAAUACUCCAGCUUAACUGGAGGGGUGCCAUUGAUACUGCAGGGCUUGAGUACAGAUGAAGUAGGCGGAAUUGACGGUGUAGCGGUGAAAUGCAUAGAUAUCGUCAAGAACUCCGAUAGCGAAGGCAGCUUACUAAGCUGUAACUGACGCUGAGGCACGAAAGUGUGGGGAUCAAACAGG